Non-coding RNA from Electrophorus electricus (electric eel), 180 nucleotides. NCBI's taxonomy places the organism in Eukaryota, Metazoa, Chordata, Actinopteri, Gymnotiformes, Gymnotidae. The record is from RefSeq and is a predicted model, not a curated record.
UUCUGGAAAAAUGUUAACCAAAGGAUUGGGUACAGCACCUGCUGCCCUGGGAAAUGGAGCCAUAGCAAACGGUGGCUCCGCAUUAAAGCCCAACAAGCCUGGAUAUGGAGGGUGGCCUUCAUACGGUGGAAUUGGUACAGGCUUUCGAAUGGUGCCCCAGCUAGCUACCAAACAAAAAGG